RNAcentral lists this ribosomal RNA (215 nucleotides) under Paenibacillus sp. P3E. RNAcentral's name for it is "partial 23S ribosomal RNA". It matches the Rfam family "Bacterial large subunit ribosomal RNA", at positions 2704 to 2925 of the family's 2925-position model. Lineage: Bacteria; Bacillati; Bacillota; Bacilli; Caryophanales; Paenibacillaceae. The record is from RNAcentral.
UACCGCUGGUGCAUCAGUUGUUCCGCCAGGAGCAUGGCUGAGUAGCUACGUACGGACGGGAUAAGCGCUGAAAGCAUCUAAGCGUGAAGCCCCCCUCAAGAUGAGAUUUCCCAGUAUGUAAGACCCCUUGAAGACGACGAGGUAGAUAGGUUGGAGGUGGAAGCACGGCAACGUGUGGAGCUGACCAAUACUAAUCGGUCGAGGGCUUAUCCAAA